This 253-nucleotide ribosomal RNA is filed under the name uncultured bacterium. RNAcentral's name for it is "partial 16S ribosomal RNA". It matches the Rfam family "Bacterial small subunit ribosomal RNA", at positions 524 to 776 of the family's 1533-position model. The record is from RNAcentral.
UACAGGGGGGGCAAGCGUUGUUCGGAAUUACUGGGCGUAAAGGGUUUGUAGGUGGCUUGUUAAGUCAGACGUGAAAUCCCUCAGCUUAACUGGGGAACUGCGUCUGAUACUGAUGAGCUUGAGUGCAGGAGAGGAACGCGGAAUUCCAGGUGUAGCGGUGAAAUGCGUAGAUAUCUGGAGGAACACCGGUGGCGAAGGCGGCAUUCUGGACCAUAACUGACACUGAGAGACGAAAGCCAGGGGAGCAAACGGG